UACGAAGGGGGCUAGCGUUGCUCGGAAUCACUGGGCGUAAAGCGCACGUAGGCGGAUUGCUAAGUCAGGGGUGAAAUCCUGGAGCUCAACUCCAGAACUGCCUUUGAUACUGGCGACCUUGAGUCCGGGAGAGGUGAGUGGAACUGCGAGUGUAGAGGUGAAAUUCGUAGAUAUUCGGAAGAACACCAGUGGCGAAGGCGGCUCACUGGCCCGGUUCUGACGCUGAGGUGCGAAAGCGUGGGGAGCAAACAGG
This 253-nucleotide ribosomal RNA is filed under the name uncultured bacterium. RNAcentral describes it as "partial 16S ribosomal RNA". It matches the Rfam family "Bacterial small subunit ribosomal RNA", at positions 524 to 776 of the family's 1533-position model. The record is from RNAcentral.